AACGAACGCUGGCGGCGCGCCUAAUACAUGCAAGUCGAGCGAGAAGGUGUAGCAAUACACUUGUAAAGCGGCGAACGGGUGAGGAAUGCAUGGGUAACCUACCCUCGAGUGGGGAAUAACUAGCCGAAAGGUUAGCUAAUACCGCAUACGUUUCCGGAACUUCGGUUUCGGAAAGAAAGCAAUACCGUGGGUAUUGCGCUCCUGGAUGGGCUCAUGUCCUAUCAGCUUGUUGGUGAGGUAACGGCUCACCAAGGCUUCGACGGGUAGCUGGUCUGAGAGGACGAUCAGCCACACUGGCACUGCGACACGGCCCAGACUCCUACGGGAGGCAGCAGUGGGAAUAUUGGACAAUGGGCGCAAGCCUGAUCCAGCAACGCCGCGUGAAUGAUGAAGGCCUUCGGGUCGU
Molecule: ribosomal RNA, 406 nt
Filed under: uncultured bacterium
Lineage: Bacteria
Description: bacterial SSU rRNA
Rfam family: Bacterial small subunit ribosomal RNA
Source: RNAcentral